UACGGCCACUUCACUUUGAAACACCUGUUCUUGUACGAUCACCGAAGUUAAGCAACGUCGAACCUGCUCAGUACCUAGAUGGGUGACCGCUUAGGAAUUCCAGGUGA
This 107-nucleotide ribosomal RNA is filed under the name Acanthosepion pharaonis. The record is from RNAcentral. Lineage: Eukaryota; Metazoa; Mollusca; Cephalopoda; Sepiida; Sepiidae.